RNAcentral lists this ribosomal RNA (249 nucleotides) under uncultured bacterium. RNAcentral's name for it is "partial 16S ribosomal RNA". It matches the Rfam family "Bacterial small subunit ribosomal RNA", at positions 524 to 775 of the family's 1533-position model. The record is from RNAcentral.
UACGAAGGGGCUAGCGUUGCUCGGAAUCACUGGGCGUAAAGCGCACGUAGGCGGCUUUCUAAGUCAGGGUGAAUCCUGGAGCUCAACUCCAGAACUGCCUUUGAUACUGGAGAGCUUGAGUCCGGAAGAGGUGAGUGGAACUCCGAGUGUAGAGGUGAAAUUCGUAGAUAUUCGGAAGAACACCAGUGGCGAAGGCGGCUCACUGGUCCGGUACUGACGCUGAUGUGCGAAAGCGUGGGGAGCAACAGG